CUCAGGGACAGUGAUCAGAGGAGAAGAGCGAGUAGAAGAAAUUGAAAGAAAGGCAAAAGAAAGCAGUCUAAAUGGACUAGGCCCGACCUGCUUCGAUUCAACACGCGUGUGAAGUUAAGAGAGGUAGAUAGAACAGAACAGAGGAAAAACAGUGGAGAGAAGACAAAGAAACAGAGAUGGCUCAAAGAUUGACACCAAGAAAAUCGUUCUUCGGUGCUCUGAUGUUUCUUGUCUUCCCACAUACAGGGAUAUCAAACAAAGAGAUAUCCAUUUCUCAAACAAACGAGGAAGCAGCCAUCAUCCUGACCUGUCACCUGUCUGGGAAUAUGACAGUCAUUCAGACAAGCUGGGUGAUGAGCCCUAAUAGAACUAAUGUAGGCACCUUCCACCCCGUGUACGGCACCCAUGUCCUCCCACAGUACACGGAACACGUGGAGAUCCUCAGUGAUCCUCCCAACUCCCAUAGGAGCUCCUUGAGGCUGAAGAACGGGGCGAUGAAUGGACCAAUCUCUUCUGCUGUGUGUUCACCACCUUCCCCUCAGGCACGCUGGACUGCUGUACAGACAUCAACCACAACACCACCCAAGCACUGACGCAAGAGAAAACUACAGGGGAUGACCACAGGUUUGUGAGCCGUUGGGCAUUACUGACUGGAGGCAGCAUCCUCUCUCUCAUCAUUUUGAGCAUGUCCAUAUUUUUUUGCUGGAGGAACAACGUCAGAAGG
Long non-coding RNA from Clupea harengus (Atlantic herring), 724 nucleotides. The record is from Ensembl. NCBI's taxonomy places the organism in Eukaryota, Metazoa, Chordata, Actinopteri, Clupeiformes, Clupeidae.